AGGAAUGAGAGGAAAGACUGCAUGAAGGAAACAACUUCCAGAACCUUCCUGGCUUGCCAAACGCGCUAUUAACCAACUCUAAUUACGGCACAGCGACCUAUUGCUCGCAGAGCCAGGAGGCCUGAAGCUAACCACCCUGCUCCCUUAGCCCCACCUGCUGUACUGGUACCAGCUGGAUUUAAGGGAGACAAAGCCCAACAAUUAAGGGGUAGGAGAGAACAGGGGUUUGGCUGGGAACUGCUUGUAGGUGGUAUCUUGCUAAAGGCUCUUAGUCAGGCUGUUGGCUUGGUAUGCUCUGGGUUGCAGGGUUAUUGCCUCCUGGCUGAGAAAGAGGCAGUACAGCAAGCAGGAGGUGGUGCAGCAAGCUGCUGGGUUUGUCUUGUGGGGGAGCUUCUGCUGGCCUUGUGUUUCGAAUUCAGAGUUCGAAAUAAAUUAAGAGAUACAGAGGCUGUGUUAGGUGGCUUCUGAUGCUGCUCAGGAUGCUAGGUCUGGCAGGGUGUGUGGGAGCUCCUGGCAUCCCUGCCUGGCACCCCCAGGCUGUUUUUCACUGCUCUGGAGUAUGCUAAAAUCACCCUGAAAUCACCAACCAUCACUACUCUCAACAGCAAAACAAGAAUUCCUUUGUACACUCCUGAAAGUUUUUGGUAGCAUAAAUGUUUGGUAAAUCAGAUGAAAACAACAGAAAAGCAUAUAUGGAUAGAAACAUUUUUUUCCCUCUAUUUGCAUAACUCCUUACACAACAGUAAGUGAUUUCAAAUGUGGCAAACAAAACCCAAAAUCCUUUAUGGUUUCAUAACUGUUGCUAGAGAAAAAGGAGAUGUAAGAAAAAUGCUGUGCAACAAGGCUUAAAGCAAGCUUUCAGAGAUUAAUUAAAAGUACUUAUUUGCAAGAGAGAAUGGUAUAUUGCGUGUUAGGAAACCAGGUAAGGUCCUUAAAUAACAAUCAAAUGCAUGAUAUGAUUAAGAGGUUAAUACUUCCAGAGCUAUAUUAAACCAAAACUAUUCCUAGCAGCUUGCAGUUAUGCAGGCAAAAAAAAAAAGUCUUACACUACUGCAUUUAGUGACCUUGUAACAAUGUAUGUUAAUAUAAGUAUGAUUGUAAGAAUACAGAUUAACUUUGUUUAAUGAGAAGUGUUGAAAAAUAAAGUUGGUGGAUGUUGGCUAGUAGGGACAAUUGACCUAUUUGUGGUGAACUUGAAGUAGGGUGACUGUGUGUGCCAUUGUAACACUGCCUGAAACCCUGGCUGGGGGACUGCUUGGAUAUGGGGGUGGAGGCAGCAGGGAGGGCGAAGAACAGUGUUCUGCUGUGCAUGAUAGCAUCUGAUGUGCAUGACCAGCGUCUGAUACUUCAGAAAAGGACUGGAGAAUAUAGGUUAUUACCAUCAUUACAGAGCAAGCGUGUAACAGUGUUACCAAAUAUGGGAGAAUCUGCUACUGCUCUGGACUUGUGUGACUGCCUGCGCACUGGGGAUGCAAAGCAGAUUCCUCCCCCUCCCAGUGGGAACUACUGAUUCCCUGCAGCCUCCAGCAGGGACAGAGAAACUUACAGAAUAUUAUCAACUAGCAGUCUGGAUGUUUCUGUAGCUACUGAUAUAAUUUGCACAGAAUAACAAGAGGAGUCCCAUGAUCAACACAAGACAGUUGAUGCAGUGACCGCCGAGUGAUCCGCAAAGCCAGGCUGCUGGCGCCAUCCCGUGGCACGCUCCUGGCUGCACGACUCCGGGCUGCUGGGCUCUGCCGGGGACUCAGCGCUAACAGCGGUGCACAGAGGAUAGCUUAGGGCUCACGUUUCAUGUUUCAUGUCUGUCUCUUGACAACAAGACAACAUGUCUCAGGCUAUGAUGCUGGGUACUGUAGCCAAGGUCCAGAUUAUCCAUAGUGAAGUGCUUUGAAGGGGGGGGGGAGCUUUCCCUACAAUCCUAAAAUGGGUUUAAAUACACUCCUCAAACAAGGCCAGUGUGAUUAACAGAAAGAAUACAGCAAUAUGGCAUGUGUUUGAAGAAGGAAAAAAACAAAACAAAACACAGCUUGCAUGGGUUGAAAAUCUUCAUCCCCAAAUUCUGCAACAAACGAGAAUACGAAGGCUGUUGGAUCAGUUCCGUGGGAAAUAUUUCAAAUGAGUAUAAAGCCAGGGUGGCACUACGGGAGAUCAGGGAAUACAGUAACUGUAUUACAUGUCUCACAGGGCCCUGAAUUUGCCCCAAGGUGUGUGCAAUAACAGUGAAGUGGUGAAUAACCAGCUGUUAAAGUAGCAAGAGUGUAUUGGACAUUUUUCCCCCAGAAAAAAAAAUGGAUUUUCUAGACAAAAGCAGUGUUAUAUACACCGUCCAAGUGAAUGUUAAAAAACACAUUAUGUGACGCUCAGAAUUUUUUUAUCAAGCUUGUAAAGCUGGUAAUUUUUAUAAUGGAUUAUAAUACAGGCAGGAAAUUGGUUAAAUAAAAAUGAUAAUGAUAAGGUACUGAA
Anas platyrhynchos (mallard) is the source of this 2463-nucleotide non-coding RNA. Lineage: Eukaryota; Metazoa; Chordata; Aves; Anseriformes; Anatidae. The record is from RefSeq and is a predicted model, not a curated record.